RNAcentral lists this ribosomal RNA (233 nucleotides) under uncultured bacterium. Its description in RNAcentral is "partial 16S ribosomal RNA". It matches the Rfam family "Bacterial small subunit ribosomal RNA", at positions 118 to 347 of the family's 1533-position model. The record is from RNAcentral.
UGAGGAACAUGACUUUCGUGGGGAGUAGCCGGCCCAACAGCCGGGUAAUACCGCGUACGACCUUUUGGGGACAUCCCUGAUUGGUGAAAGCAGCAAUGCGCCGAAAGAGUGCCUCGCGGCCUAUCAGCUAGUUGGUGGGGUAAUGGCUCACCAAGGCAACGACGGGUAGCUGGUCUGAGAGGAUGGCCAGCCACAUUGGGACUGAGACACGGCCCAGACUCCGUACGGGAGCA